UGUGAGGGGCAUGUGAGGGCUGUCGCUGACUCAAAGUCGUGCACGCCCGAGUGUGUCCUCUCGCAUAAUAAUCCAUCUCACCCUUUGUGCAUCGCCGCGUGGGCACCCUUUGGGAUCAUCUCGGAGGGGGCUCGCGUUUUCACACAAACCCCCCUUUUAAAAGUGUAGAAUGACCUCAUUUAUGCGCUAACACGCAAUCAAUACAACUUUCAACAACGGAUCUCUUGGCUCUCGCAUCGAUGAAGAACGCAGCGAAAUGCGAUACGUAAUGUGAAUUGCAGAAUUCAGUGAAUCAUCGAAUCUUUGAACGCACCUUGCGCCCCUUGGUAUUCCGAGGGGCACACCCGUUUGAGUGUCGUGAAAACCUCAACCUCCUUGGUUUCUUCUGGAGACCAAAGGCAGGCUUGGACUUUGGAGGCCUUUGCUGGAACCUCUCUCUUUUGAAGGCCAGCUCCUCUUAAACGAAUUAGCAGGGUCCUCUUUGCCGAUCCUCGACGUGUGAUAAGAUGUUUCCAUGUCUUGGUUUCUGGCUCUGUCACCUUUGGGACCCGCUUCUAACGGUCUUGACCUUGCGUCGAGACAAUGUUCGAGCAUGUCUCCCUUCUCGGGAAGCUCCCUCGACCCCACGAACCCUUGACCUCAAAUCGGGUGAGACUACCCGCUGAACUUAAGCAUAUCAAUA
Molecule: ribosomal RNA, 682 nt
Filed under: Lactarius herrerae
Lineage: Eukaryota; Fungi; Basidiomycota; Agaricomycetes; Russulales; Russulaceae
Description: eukaryotic LSU rRNA
Rfam family: 5.8S ribosomal RNA (bases 205-358)
Source: RNAcentral